This 1374-nucleotide ribosomal RNA is filed under the name human gut metagenome. RNAcentral describes it as "bacterial LSU rRNA". It matches the Rfam family "Bacterial large subunit ribosomal RNA", at positions 1559 to 2925 of the family's 2925-position model. The record is from RNAcentral.
AGGCAAAGCAUCGAGACCUUUUAGGUCGAAGUGAUUGGAUGUGCUCCCAGGAAAAGCCUCUAAGCUCCAGCUCAACGGGACCGUACCGCAAACCGACACUGGUGGGCGAGCUGAAUAUGCUCAGGCGCUUGAGAGAACUCAGGAGAAGGAACUCGGCAAAUUGACACCGUAACUUCGGGAUAAGGUGUGCCUUUGUAGUGUGAAGGAAGAAACAUCCGGAGCAUGAAGAGGUCUCAGAGAAUUGGUGGCUGCGACUGUUUACUAAAAACACAGCACUCUGCAAAGACGAAAGUCGACGUAUAGGGUGUGAUGCCUGCCCGGUGCUGGAAGAUUAAUUGAUGGGGUGCAAGCUCCUGAUCGAAGUCCCAGUAAACGGCGGCCGUAACUAUAACGGUCCUAAGGUAGCGAAAUUCCUUGUCGGGUAAGUUCCGACCUGCACGAAUGGCAUAACGAUGGCCACACUGUCUCCUCCUGAGACUCAGUGAAGUUGAAGUGUUUGUGAUGAUGCAAUCUCCCCGCGGCUAGACGGAAAGACCCCAUGAACCUUUACUGUAGCUUUGCAUUGGACUUUGAACCGAUCUGUGUAGGAUAGGCGGGAGGCUGAGAAGCGGUGACGCUAGUCAUCGUGGAGCCGUCCUUGAAAUACCGCCCUGAUUUGUUUGAGGUUCUAACCUAGGUCAGUGAUCCUGAUCGGGGACCGUGCAUGGUAGGCAGUUUGACUGGGGCGGUCUCCUCCUAAAGGGUAACGGAGGAGUGCGAAGGUACGCUAGGUACGGUCGGAAAUCGUGCUGAUAGUGCAAAGGCAAAAGCGUGCUUGACUGCGAGACCCACAAGUCGAGCAGAUACGAAAGUAGGUCUUAGUGAUCCGGUGGCUCUGUAUGGAAGGGCCAUCGCUCAACGGAUAAAAGGUACUCUGGGGAUAACAGGCUGAUACCGCCCAAGAGUUCAUAUCGACGGCGGUGUUUGGCACCUCGAUGUCGGCUCAUCUCAUCCUGGGGCUGUAGCCGGUCCCAAGGGUAUGGCUGUUCGCCAUUUAAAGAGGUACGUGAGCUGGGUUUAAAACGUCGUGAGACAGUUUUGUCCCUAUCUGCCGUGGGCGCUGGAAGAUUGACGGGGGCUGCUCCUAGUACGAGAGGACCGGAGUGGACUCACCUCUGGUGUACCGGUUGUCACGCCAGUGGCAUCGCCGGGUAGCUAUGUGGGGAAAGGAUAACCGCUGAAAGCAUCUAAGUGGGAAACCUGCCUGAAGAUAAGUCUUCCUGGAGGCUUGACCUCCCUAAAGAGUCGUUCGAGACCAGGACGUUGAUAGGUUGGGUGUGUAAGCGCUGUAAGGCGUUAAGCUAACCAAUACUAAUUGCUCGUGCAGCUUGAUCC